RNAcentral lists this ribosomal RNA (581 nucleotides) under uncultured bacterium. Its description in RNAcentral is "bacterial SSU rRNA". It matches the Rfam family "Bacterial small subunit ribosomal RNA", at positions 89 to 669 of the family's 1533-position model. The record is from RNAcentral.
GAGAGAGCGGCGUACGGGCGCGGAACACGUGUGCAACCUGCCUUUAUCUGGGGGAUAGCCUUUCGAAAGGAAGAUUAAUACUCCAUAAUAUAUUGAGCGGCAUCGUUUAAUAUUGAAAGCUCCGGCGGAUAGAGAUGGGCACGCGCAAGAUUAGCUAGUUGGUGAGGUAACGGCUCACCAAGGCGAUGAUCUUUAGGGGGCCUGAGAGGGUGAUCCCCCACACUGGUACUGAGACACGGACCAGACUCCUACGGGAGGCAGCAGUGAGGAAUAUUGGUCAAUGGGUGCAAGCCUGAACCAGCCAUCCCGCGUGAAGGACGACUGCCCUAUGGGUUGUAAACUUCUUUUGUAUAGGGAUAAACCUACCCUCGUGAGGGUAGCUGAAGGUACUAUACGAAUAAGCACCGGCUAACUCCGUGCCAGCAGCCGCGGUAAUACGGAGGGUGCAAGCGUUAUCCGGAUUUAUUGGGUUUAAAGGGUCCGUAGGCGGACUUAUAAGUCAGUGGUGAAAGCCUGUCGCUUAACGAUAGAACUGCCAUUGAUACUGUAAGUCUUGAGUAUAUUUGAGGUAGCUGGAAUAA